RNAcentral lists this ribosomal RNA (750 nucleotides) under uncultured bacterium. Its description in RNAcentral is "bacterial SSU rRNA". It matches the Rfam family "Bacterial small subunit ribosomal RNA", at positions 8 to 794 of the family's 1533-position model. The record is from RNAcentral.
AGAGUUUGAUCAUGGCUCAGGAUGAACGCUGGCGGCGUGCCUAAUACAUGCAAGUCGAGCGGUAAGGCUCCUUCGGGAGUACACGAGCGGCGGACGGCUGAGUAACACGUAGGAACGUACCCCAAACUGAGGGAUAAGCACCAGAAAUGGUGUCUAAUACCGCAUGUGAUCUCCGGAUUAAAGCUACGGCGGUUUGGGAACGGCCUGCGCACGAUUAGAUAGUUGGUGAGGUAAUGGCUCACCAAGUCGACGAUCGUUAGCUGGUCUGAGAGGAUGAUCAGCCAGACUGGGACUGAGAACGGCCCAGACUCCUACGGGAGGCAGCAGUAGGGAAUUUUCCACAAUGGACGAAAGUCUGAUGGAGCAACGCCGCGUGCAGGAUGAAUGCCUUCGGGUUGUAAACUGCUUUUAUCUGUGACGAAUAUGACGGUAGCAGAUGAAUAAGGAUCGGCUAACUCCGUGCCAGCAGCCGCGGUCAUACGGAGGAUCCAAGCGUUAUCCGGAAUUACUGGGCGUAAAGAGUUGCGUAGGUGGCACUGUGUGUCUGUAGUGAAAGCGUGUGGCUCAACCAUAUAUACAUUACAGAAACUGCAGAGCUAGAGGGCGAGAGAGGUUACUAGAAUUCCUAGUGUAGGAGUGAAAUCCGUAGAUAUUAGGAGGAAUACCGAUGGCGUAGGCAGGUAACUGGCUCGUCCCUGACACUAAGGCACGAAAGCGUGGGGAGCAAACGGGAUUAGAUACCCCGGUAGU